UCCAGCAGCCAUGUCAUCCUGCAAUUCACAACUGGCUGCCACUGAAGCUCAGCAGGUGAGCCUGGUUAGUACCUGGAUGGGAGACCUCCUGGGAAAAACUAAGGUUUCUGCUGGAA
Molecule: ribosomal RNA, 116 nt
Filed under: Lepisosteus oculatus (spotted gar)
Lineage: Eukaryota; Metazoa; Chordata; Actinopteri; Semionotiformes; Lepisosteidae
Source: RNAcentral